CAAUAGCGUAUAUUAAAGUUGUUGCAGUUAAAAAGCUCGUAGUUGGAUUUCUGGCAGGAGCGACCGGUCACACACUCUGUGUGUGAACUUGUGUUGUCUCUGGCCAUCCUUGGGGAGAUCCUGUUUGGCAUUAAGUUGUCGGGCAGGGGACAUCCAUCGUUUACUGUGAAAAAAUUAGAGUGUUUAAAGCAGGCUUAUGCCGUUGAAUAUAUUAGCAUGGAAUAAUAAGAUAGGACUUCGGAACUAUUUUGUUGGUUUGCGUUACGAAGUAAUGAUUAAUAGGGACAGUUGGGGGUAUUCGUAUUUCGUUGUCAGAGGUGAAAUUCUUGGAUUUCCGAAAGACGAACUACUGCGAAAGCAUUUACCAAGGAUGUUUUCAUUGA
RNAcentral lists this ribosomal RNA (383 nucleotides) under uncultured eukaryote. RNAcentral describes it as "partial 18S ribosomal RNA". It matches the Rfam family "Eukaryotic small subunit ribosomal RNA", at positions 592 to 976 of the family's 1831-position model. The record is from RNAcentral.